GACGAACGCUGGCGGCGUGCUUAACACAUGCAAGUCGAACGGAAAGGCCCUGCUUUUGUGGGGUGCUCGAGUGGCGAACGGGUGAGUAACACGUGAGUAACCUGCCCUUGACUUUGGGAUAACUUCAGGAAACUGGGGCUAAUACCGGAUAGGAGCUCCUGCUGCAUGGUGGGGGUUGGAAAGUUUCGGCGGUUGGGGAUGGACUCGCGGCUUAUCAGCUUGCUGGUGGGGUAGUGGCUUACCAAGGCUUUGACGGGUAGCCGGCCUGAGAGGGUGACCGGCCACAUUGGGACUGAGAUACGGCACAGACUCCUACGGGAGGCAGCAGUGGGGAAUAUUGCACAAUGGGCGGAAGCCUGAUGCAGCAACGCCGCGUGCGGGAUGACGGCCUUCGGGUUGUAAACCGCUUUCGCCUGUGACGAAGCGUGAGUGACGGUAACGGGUAAAGAAGCACCGGCUAACUACGUG
This 468-nucleotide ribosomal RNA is filed under the name uncultured bacterium. Its description in RNAcentral is "partial 16S ribosomal RNA". It matches the Rfam family "Bacterial small subunit ribosomal RNA", at positions 28 to 507 of the family's 1533-position model. The record is from RNAcentral.